RNAcentral lists this long non-coding RNA (207 nucleotides) under Mytilus galloprovincialis (Mediterranean mussel). The record is from RNAcentral. Lineage: Eukaryota; Metazoa; Mollusca; Bivalvia; Mytilida; Mytilidae.
CGGGAGAACGUGAUGGUCGAAGUGAGGUCGAAGUAACGUCGCUGGGAGAUCGGAGCGCAAUAUCUCCAACUAGAAUCGCGCUUUUUUAACGUCCUCACUACGAUGGUACCACGACAUUAUAAUUACUGCGCACUCGCUAAGAAUUUACCCCGAUCUGAUCGCAUCAUAUGUUCAAAGUUUGCCACGUUCAUCACGAUUAUGAAGACC